GGGGUCAUAGGGUAAUGGCUAUCCCGCUAGGCUCCAGACUUAGCAAUCCGGGUUCGACUCCCGGUGACCCCA
RNAcentral lists this transfer RNA (72 nucleotides) under archaeon. RNAcentral's name for it is "tRNA-Trp". It matches the Rfam family "tRNA". From Rfam's summary of the family: Transfer RNA (tRNA) molecules are approximately 80 nucleotides in length. Their secondary structure includes four short double-helical elements and three loops (D, anti-codon, and T loops). The record is from RNAcentral. RNAcentral also lists the same sequence under 1 other name.